This 492-nucleotide ribosomal RNA is filed under the name uncultured bacterium. RNAcentral describes it as "partial 16S ribosomal RNA". It matches the Rfam family "Bacterial small subunit ribosomal RNA", at positions 29 to 507 of the family's 1533-position model. The record is from RNAcentral.
AGUGAACGCUGGCGGUAGGCCUAACACAUGCAAGUCGAACGGCAGCACAGUAAGAGCUUGCUCUUACGGGUGGCGAGUGGCGGACGGGUGAGGAAUACAUCGGAAUCUACUUUUUCGUGGGGGAUAACGUAGGGAAACUUACGCUAAUACCGCAUACGACCUACGGGUGAAAGCAGGGGAUCUUCGGACCUUGCGCGAUUGAAUGAGCCGAUGUCGGAUUAGCUAGUUGGCGGGGUAAAGGCCCACCAAGGCGACGAUCCGUAGCUGGUCUGAGAGGAUGAUCAGCCACACUGGAACUGAGGCACGGUACAGACUCCUACGGGAGGCAGCAGUGGGGAAUAUUGGACGAUGGGCGCAAGCCUGAUCCAGCCAUACCGCGUGGGUGAAGAAGGCCUUCGGGUUGUAAAGCCCUUUUGUUGGGAAAGAAAAGCAGCAGGUUAAUACCCCGCUGCUCUGACGGUACCCAAAGAAUAAGCACCGGCUAACUUCGUG